RNAcentral lists this ribosomal RNA (254 nucleotides) under uncultured bacterium. Its description in RNAcentral is "partial 16S ribosomal RNA". It matches the Rfam family "Bacterial small subunit ribosomal RNA", at positions 524 to 777 of the family's 1533-position model. The record is from RNAcentral.
UACGGAGGGUGCAAGCGUUAUCCGGAUUCACUGGGUUUAAAGGGUGCGUAGGUGGGUUUGUAAGUCAGUGGUGAAAUCUCCAAGCUUAACUUGGAACUGCCGUUGAUACUAUAAAUCUUGAAUGUUGUGGAGGUGAGCGGAAUAUGUCAUGUAGCGGUGAAAUGCUUAGAUAUGACAUAGAACACCAAUUGCGAAGGCAGCUCACUAACACAAAGAUUGACACUGAGGCACGAAAGCGUGGGGAGCAAACAGGA